AUUGAACGCUGGCGGCAGGCCUAACACAUGCAAGUCGAGCGGAUGAAGGGAGCUUGCUCCUGGAUUCAGCGGCGGACGGGUGAGUAAUGCCUAGGAAUCUGCCUGGUAGUGGGGGAUAACGUCCGGAAACGGGCGCUAAUACCGCAUACGUCCUGAGGGAGAAAGUGGGGGAUCUUCGGACCUCACGCUAUCAGAUGAGCCUAGGUCGGAUUAGCUAGUUGGUGGGGUAAAGGCCUACCAAGGCGACGAUCCGUAACUGGUCUGAGAGGAUGAUCGGUCACACUGGAACUGAGACACGGUCCAGACUCCUACGGGAGGCAGCAGUGGGGAAUAUUGGACAAUGGGCGAAAGCCUGAUCCAGCCAUGCCGCGUGUGUGAAGAAGGUCUUCGGAUUGUAAAGCACUUUAAGUUGGGAGGAGGGGCAGUAAGUUAAUACCUUGCUGUUUUGACGUUACCAACAGAAUAAGCACCGGCUAACUUCGUG
Molecule: ribosomal RNA, 484 nt
Filed under: uncultured bacterium
Lineage: Bacteria
Description: partial 16S ribosomal RNA
Rfam family: Bacterial small subunit ribosomal RNA
Source: RNAcentral